Molecule: long non-coding RNA, 452 nt
Filed under: Homo sapiens (human)
Lineage: Eukaryota; Metazoa; Chordata; Mammalia; Primates; Hominidae
Description: non-protein coding lnc-NCOA2-2:1
Source: RNAcentral
UUAUCUCUUGUGAUCCCUGAGAAAUUCCAGCAUAUUUUGCGAGUACUCAACACCAACAUCCAUGUUGGCAGAAAAUAGCCUUUGCCAUCACUGCCAUUGAGGGUGUGGGUCGAAGAUAUGCUCAUGUGGUAUUGAGAAAGCAGACACUAACCUCACCAAGAGCACAGGACUCUCUGAGGAUGAGGUGGAACAUAUGAUUGCCACUAAGCAGAAUCCAUGCAUUCAAGAUCCCCAACUGGUUCUUGAACAGGCAGAAGGAUGGAAAGGCUGGAAACUAUAGCCAGGUCCUGGCGAAUGAUCUGGAUAACAAGCUCCGUGAAGACCUGGAGCAACUGAAGAAGAUUCCAGCCUGUAGAGGGCUGCACCACUUCUGGGGUCUUCGUGUCUGAAGCCAGCACAUUAAGACCACUGGCCACUGUGGCCAUACUAUGGCUGUGUCCAAGAAGCACUAA